This 497-nucleotide ribosomal RNA is filed under the name uncultured bacterium. RNAcentral describes it as "partial 16S ribosomal RNA". It matches the Rfam family "Bacterial small subunit ribosomal RNA", at positions 28 to 507 of the family's 1533-position model. The record is from RNAcentral.
GACGAACGCUGGCGGCGUGCCUAAUACAUGCAAGUAGAACGCUGAAGAGAGGAGCUUGCUCUUCUUGGGUGAGUUGCGAACGGGUGAGUAACGCGUAGGUAACCUGCCUUGUAGCGGGGGAUAACUAUUGGAAACGAUAGCUACUACUGCAUAACAAUGGAUGACACAUGUCGUUUAUUUGAAAGGGGCAAUUGCCCCACUACAAGAUGGACCUGCGUUGUAUUAGCUAGUAGGUGAGGUAAUGGCUAACCUAGGCGACGAUACAUAGCCGACCUGAGAGGGUGAUCGGCCAACAUGGGAAUGAGACAAGGGCCAGACUCCUACGGGAGGCAGCAGGAGGGAAUCUUCGGCAAUGGGGGCAAACCUGACCGAGCAACGACGCGUGAGUGAAGAAGGUUUUCGGAUCGUAAAGCUCUGUUGUAAGUCAAGAAAGGGUGUGAGAGUGGAAAGUUCACGCUGUGACGGUAGCUUACGAGAAAGGGACGGCUAACUACGUG